GCUGGGCAUGGUGGCGCAUGCCUGUAGUCCCAGCUACUCAGGAGGCUGAGACAGGGGAAUUGCUUGAACCCGGGAGGUGGAGGUUGCAGUGAGCCGAGAUCGCGCCACUGUACUCCAGCCUGGGUGACAGAGCAAGACUCCAUCUCAA
Molecule: small RNA, 148 nt
Filed under: Pongo abelii (Sumatran orangutan)
Lineage: Eukaryota; Metazoa; Chordata; Mammalia; Primates; Hominidae
Description: Metazoan signal recognition particle RNA (ENSPPYG00000037699.1)
Source: Rfam by way of RNAcentral